RNAcentral lists this ribosomal RNA (651 nucleotides) under uncultured bacterium. RNAcentral's name for it is "bacterial SSU rRNA". It matches the Rfam family "Bacterial small subunit ribosomal RNA", at positions 232 to 883 of the family's 1533-position model. The record is from RNAcentral.
CGCGGCCUAUCAGCUUGUUGGCGGUGUAACGGACCACCAAGGCUUCGACGGGUAGCUGGUCUGAGAGGAUGGCCAGCCACAUUGGGACUGAGAGACGGCCCAGACUCCUACGGGAGGCAGCAGUGGGGAAUCUUGCGCAAUGGCCGAAAGGCUGACGCAGCGACGCCGCGUGUGGGAUGAAGCAUUUCGGAGUGUAAACCACUGUUGCCCGGGACGAAUAGCUCGAUUAAUCGAGCCUGACAGUACCGGGUGAGGAAGCACCGGCUAACUCCGUGCCAGCAGCCGCGGUAAUACGGGGGGUGCGAGCGUUGUCCGGAAUCACUGGGCGUAAAGGGCGCGUAGGUGGUUUGAUAAGGGUGUGGUGAAAGUCCGGGGCUCAACCCCGGAUCUGCCGUGCCGACUGUCAAACUCGAGGACUGUAGAGGCAGACGGAAUUCCGGGUGUAGCGGUGGAAUGCGUAGAGAUCCGGAGGAAGACCGGUGGCGAAGGCGGUCUGCUGGGCAGUUUCUGACACUGAGGCGCGACAGCGUGGGGAGCAAACAGGAUUAGAUACCCUGGUAGUCCACGCCGUAAACGAUGGGUACUAGGUGCCUGGGGGAGUGACCCUCUGGGUGCCGGCGCUAACGCAGGAAGUACCCCGCCUGGGAGUAC